This 73-nucleotide transfer RNA is filed under the name Anaerolineaceae bacterium. RNAcentral's name for it is "tRNA-Thr". It matches the Rfam family "tRNA". From Rfam's summary of the family: Transfer RNA (tRNA) molecules are approximately 80 nucleotides in length. The record is from RNAcentral. Lineage: Bacteria; Bacillati; Chloroflexota; Anaerolineae; Anaerolineales; Anaerolineaceae.
GCCUACGUAGCUCAGUCGGCAGAGCACUCCCUUGGUAAGGGCGAGGUCAUGGGUUCAAAUCCCAUCGUGGGCU